AUGCACUUUUGCAUAAACCCCCCUGCCUUUUCCCCUAUUCAACCCGCACUCCCUCCACCUGAAUUAAUUCUGUCGGAACGAAUCCACCUCGCGUCCGCCUCUGUUCCCCUCGUGCUCACCUGCCCCCCUCAGCUCCAGCUCCAUCUCUACGCCAACAGCAAGCUCGCUGCUGCCGUCCAGCUUCAGCUCCGGCGUCAUGGUCUCCUGGUCGGACGGGUCGUCCUCGACAUCGACAUCCCGAGCAAGAAGGUGACGGUGGUGGGCGACGUGACGCCGCUGGGCGUGCUCACCAGCGUCUCCAAGGUGAAGCCCGCACAGUUCUGGCCGUCGCAGCCGUGCCCCCCGCGCACCUCCGCUUCCUUCUGA
RNAcentral lists this ribosomal RNA (366 nucleotides) under Triticum aestivum (bread wheat). Its description in RNAcentral is "partial small subunit ribosomal RNA". The record is from RNAcentral. Lineage: Eukaryota; Viridiplantae; Streptophyta; Magnoliopsida; Poales; Poaceae.